CGAUCACGUGAGUGUAAGCAAAUCUCAAAAAUAACGUCCCAGUUCGGAUUGUAGUCUGCAACCCGACUACAUGAAGCUGGAAUCGCUAGUAAUCGCGAAUCAGUAUGUCGCGGUGAAUACGUUCCCGGGUCUUGUACACACCGCCCGUCACACCAUGGGAGUUGGCAACGCCCGAAGCCAGUGACCCAACCGAGAGGAGGGAGCUGUCGAAGGCGGGGCCGGUAACUGGGGUGAAGUCGUAACAAGGUAAC
Molecule: ribosomal RNA, 251 nt
Filed under: uncultured bacterium
Lineage: Bacteria
Description: partial 16S ribosomal RNA
Rfam family: Bacterial small subunit ribosomal RNA
Source: RNAcentral